RNAcentral lists this ribosomal RNA (560 nucleotides) under uncultured Cryptophyta. Its description in RNAcentral is "bacterial SSU rRNA". It matches the Rfam family "Eukaryotic small subunit ribosomal RNA", at positions 494 to 1046 of the family's 1831-position model. The record is from RNAcentral. Lineage: Eukaryota; Cryptophyceae.
GUUCGAGUCCGCGCAUCGGAAUGAGGACAAUUUACACCCCUUCUCGAGGAUCCAUUGGAGGGCAAGUCUGGUGCCAGCAGCCGUGGUAAUUCCAGCUCCAAUAGCGUAUACUAAAGUUGUUGCAGUUAAAAAGCUCGUAGUCGAAUGUAGAUUGUACAGGUGCGCGGACGUUUAGGUGUAUAACUUAUAUUGUCUGUACGCCACAAUCACCCUUACGUAGUACGGUUGUUUUGGUUUCCAGAACAAAUUUACCGACUACAUACAUUACUGUGAACAAAAUAGAGUGUUCAUGGCAGGCCAAUUAGGCUUGAAUACCUCAGCAUGGAAUAAUAGAAUAGGACUUCUGGUUCUAUUUUGUUGGUUUUUGGAGCCGAAGUAAUGAUUAAUAGGGAUAGUUGGGGGCACUCGUACUCCGUUGUCAGAGGUGAAAUUCUUGGAUUGACGGAAGACGAACAACUGCGAAAGCAUCUGCCAAGGAUGUUUUCAUUGAUCAAGAACGAAAGUUAGGGGAUCGAAGACGAUUAGAUACCGUCGUAGUCCUAACCAUAAACUAUGCCGAC